GCAUAUCAAUAAGCGGAGGAAAAGAAAAUAACAAUGAUUCCCCUAGUAACUGCGAGUGAAGAGGGACAAGCUCAAAUUUUAAAUCUAUCGGGUUUUACCUGAUCGAGUUGUAAUUUGAAGAUGGCGUUUUCUGUGUUUCUGAUCAGUCCAAGUCCUUUGGGAUAAGGCAUCAUGGAGGGUGAGAAUCCCGUUCGGUUGAUCAGAUUCGCUUUACGAUACGUUAUCAAAGAGUCAAGUUGUUUGGGAUUGCAGCUUAAAAUGGGAGGUAAAUUUCUCCUAAGGCUAAAUAACGGCGAGAGACCGAUAGCGGACAAGUACCGUGAGGGAAAGAUGAAAAGAACUUUGAAAAGAGAGUUAAACAGUACGUGAAAUUGUUGAAAGGGAAACGAUUGAAGCCAGUCGUACCUUCGGGUAAUCAGCCUUUUGGGUGUGAUUUUGUGGAGCGUGAAGAGUUAAACGCCUUCAUGCCUGCAUAUUCGUGCACUUUGGGUGUACUUGCCCGUAUGGUUGGUUAACAUCAAUUUUGGUGGUCAUAAAAUGACUGGAGGAAUGUAGCUUCGAUCUUGUAUUGAAGUGUUAUAGCCUUCGGUAGAUGUGAUGAUCGAGAUUGAGGAUUGCAACGGAUACCCUUCGGGGCUACCUGUCUGGUCUCUGAUCG
RNAcentral lists this ribosomal RNA (658 nucleotides) under uncultured fungus. RNAcentral's name for it is "LSU rRNA". It matches the Rfam family "Eukaryotic large subunit ribosomal RNA", at positions 38 to 646 of the family's 3401-position model. The record is from RNAcentral. Lineage: Eukaryota; Fungi.